AACGAACGCUGGCGGCAUGCCUAACACAUGCAAGUCGAACGAUUGCCUUCGGGUGAUAGUGGCGCACGGGUGCGUAACGCGUGGGAAUCUGCCCUUAGGUUCGGAAUAACAGCUGGAAACGGCUGCUAAUACCGGAUGAUAUCGCGAGAUCAAAGAUUUAUCGCCUGAGGAUGAGCCCGCGUUGGAUUAGGUAGUUGGUGGGGUAAAGGCCUACCAAGCCGACGAUCCAUAGCUGGUCUAAGAGGAUGAUCAGCCACACUGGGACUGAGACACGGCCCAGACUCCUACGGGAGGCAGCAGUGGGGAAUAUUGGACAAUGGGCGCAAGCCUGAUCCAGCAAUGCCGUGUGAGUGAUGAAGGCCCUAGGGUUGUAAAGCUCUUUUACCCGGGAAGAUAAUGACUGUACCGGGAGAAUAGGCCCCGGCUAACUCCGUG
Molecule: ribosomal RNA, 435 nt
Filed under: uncultured bacterium
Lineage: Bacteria
Description: partial 16S ribosomal RNA
Rfam family: Bacterial small subunit ribosomal RNA
Source: RNAcentral